This 414-nucleotide ribosomal RNA is filed under the name Triticum aestivum (bread wheat). Its description in RNAcentral is "partial small subunit ribosomal RNA". Lineage: Eukaryota; Viridiplantae; Streptophyta; Magnoliopsida; Poales; Poaceae. The record is from RNAcentral.
AUGUCUUCCGCUGCCCCCGCCGUCGGUGCGCCGACUCCCGUCACCGCCGCCGUCGCCGCGCCGGUCCUCACUCCUAUGUCGCCGUUCCUUGCCUCUCGACCGCUCGCGGCGGCCUAUGGAGCCCUGCCGCCGACUAGAUCCUUGAUUGGAUCGAACCCCUCGGCGGAUCCUUCUGCUUCGAUGGAGUUUGUUGCGCCGCCGCCUCCUGGUGUUGCCAUGCAACCGCCCUACGGCGUCGUCAUGCAGCCGCCCGCUGGCAUCGCCCCUGCCUCGUAUGGUGCGUCGUCGGUUGCCCAGGGAUCGCUGCAGCCGCUGCUGUCCUCCUGGCCAGUGGCGUCGUACGCGGUACCGCCUCAUCAUCAACCAUAUGCCCCCUCCCCCCGCAACAUCAGUACAGGCUGCCGCCGGCGCUGA